This is a non-coding RNA of Triticum urartu, 144 nucleotides long. NCBI's taxonomy places the organism in Eukaryota, Viridiplantae, Streptophyta, Magnoliopsida, Poales, Poaceae. The record is from Rfam.
CACCUACUCCCUCCGUUCGGAAUUAUUUGUCGCAGAAAUGGAUAUAUCUAGACGUAUUUUAGUUCUAGAUACAUCCAUUUUCGAGACAAGUAAUUAGAUACAUCCAUUUUCGAGACAAGUAAUUCCGAACGGAGGGAGUAGGUG